Molecule: unclassified non-coding RNA, 517 nt
Filed under: uncultured Glomeromycotina
Lineage: Eukaryota; Fungi; Glomeromycota
Description: SSU rRNA
Rfam family: Eukaryotic small subunit ribosomal RNA
Source: RNAcentral
CCAAUAGCGUAUAUUUAAGUUGUUGUGGUUAAAAAGCUCGUAGUUGAACCUUGGGCCUGGCUGGCCGGUCCGCCUCACCGCGUGUACUGGUCCGGCCGGGCCUUUCCCUCUGUGGAACCCCAUGCCCUUCACUGGGUGUGGCGGGGAAACAGGACUUUUACUGUGAAAAAAUUAGAGUGCUCCAGGCAGGCCUAUGCUCGAAUACAUUAGCAUGGAAUAAUAGAAUAGGACGUGUGGUUCUAUUUUGUUGGUUUCGAGGACCGCCGUAAUGAUUAAUAGGGACAGUCGGGGGCAUCAGUAUUCAAUUGUCAGAGGUGAAAUUCUUGGAUUUAUUGAAGACUAACUACUGCGAAAGCAUUUGCCAAGGAUGUUUUCAUUAAUCAGGAACGAAAGUUAGGGGAUCGAAGACGAUCAGAUACCGUCGUAGUCUUAACCAUAAACUAUGCCGACUAGGGAUCGGACGGUGUUAUUUUUUGACCCGUUCGGCACCUUACGAGAAACCAAAGUGUUUGGUUUC